AAGUGCUUUGCUAAAGCAAGUGUCCCGGGUGCCGGGGGCACACUUCCGAAGAGCAGCUCAUACACGUGGGGAGAUGAAGACUUUCCGGAAGUGGUGGAGAGAUGAAGGAAGACUUUCCGGAAGUGGUGGGGAGAUGAAGGAAGACUUUCCGGAAGUCAUGGAGAGAUGAAGGAGGACUUUCCGGAAGUGGUGGGGAGAUGAAGGAAGACUUUCCGGAAGUCAAGGUGUAGAGGGAGCAGUGAGCCAGGGUCAGCUGAUCUCGUGCUGGAAUUCGGAUUCCGGGUCAGGCAUCUUCCACUUACACCAGGCUGCCAGCCUCCGUGCGCACACACAAAAAAUGGAAGAGAGAAAAAAGAAAUGGAAAGGACAUCCACUCCAAACAGCGAGGGACCCUGGCGCCGUCAGUAAUAGGAAAAUGUCUAAUAAUGUCUGCUAAUGUAGUUUAAAAAAAAAACGUUUUGUGUUUAUAAUUGAGCGCGCACAAGU
This is a long non-coding RNA of Suricata suricatta (meerkat), 486 nucleotides long. RefSeq lists it as uncharacterized. Lineage: Eukaryota; Metazoa; Chordata; Mammalia; Carnivora; Herpestidae. The transcript is spliced from 3 exons. The record is from RefSeq and is a predicted model, not a curated record.